AUUAAUACCUUUAAUAAGGUUGAAGUUUAAAAAAAAUCUGUUUAUCACUUUAAUAUCUGCUACAUCCCCUAUUUGGGGACCAUAUGUUAAGUUGAUUUUUGGGACAGGGAGAUGGAAGAGGAGCUUGCACCGUCCACUCCACGCAUCGACCUUGUAUUGCAGUAUCUCCAGAACCGGUGCACCCCGC
Scleropages formosus (Asian bonytongue) is the source of this 187-nucleotide small nuclear RNA. Its record names the gene U2. It matches the Rfam family "U2 spliceosomal RNA". From Rfam's summary of the family: U2 is a small nuclear RNA (snRNA) component of the spliceosome (involved in pre-mRNA splicing). Complementary binding between U2 snRNA (in an area lying towards the 5' end but 3' to hairpin I) and the branchpoint sequence (BPS) of the intron results the bulging out of an unpaired adenosine, on the BPS, which initiates a nucleophilic attack at the intronic 5' splice site, thus starting the first of two transesterification reactions that mediate splicing. The record is from Ensembl. NCBI's taxonomy places the organism in Eukaryota, Metazoa, Chordata, Actinopteri, Osteoglossiformes, Osteoglossidae.